RNAcentral lists this ribosomal RNA (408 nucleotides) under uncultured bacterium. RNAcentral's name for it is "partial 16S ribosomal RNA". It matches the Rfam family "Bacterial small subunit ribosomal RNA", at positions 28 to 526 of the family's 1533-position model. The record is from RNAcentral.
GACGAACGCUGGCGGCGUGCUUAACACAUGCAAGUCGAACGGAGUGGCGAACGGGUGAGUAACACGUGGGUGACCUGCCCUGCACUUCGGGAUAAGCCUGGGAAACUGGGUCUUAUACCUGAUAGUGUGGUAUGGGCCCGCGUCCUAUCAGCUUGUUGGUGGGGUAAUGGCCUACCGAUGCGGGGACGGGUAGCCGGCCUGAGAGGGUGGACGGCCACAUUGGGACUGAGGCACGGCCCAGAGUCCUACGGGCGGCAGCAGUGGGGAAUAUUGCACAAUGGGCGGAAGCCUGAUGCAGCGACGCCGCGUGGGGGAUGACGGCCUUCGGGUUGUAAACUCCUUUCACCAUCGACGCGGUAGAUGGAGAAGAAGCACCGGCUAACUACGUGCCAGCAGCCGCGGUAAUUC